This 328-nucleotide ribosomal RNA is filed under the name uncultured eukaryote. RNAcentral describes it as "partial 18S ribosomal RNA". It matches the Rfam family "Eukaryotic small subunit ribosomal RNA", at positions 1470 to 1796 of the family's 1831-position model. The record is from RNAcentral.
CCCUUAGAUGUCCGGGGCUGCACGCGCGCUACACUGAAGGAAUCAGCGUGCUAAAACCAUUGUCGAAAGGCAUUGGUAAACCCAUUAAAAUCCUACGUGAUUGGGAUCGGGAAUUGCAAUUAUUUCCCUUGAACGAGGAAUUCCCAGUAAGUGUGGGUCAUAAGCUCGCGUUGAUUACGUCCCUGCCCUUUGUACACACCGCCCGUCGCUGCCCGGGACUGAGCCGUUUCGAGAAAAGCGGGGACUGCUGCUGUCGGGGCUUUCGGGCCUUGGCUUCGGUGGAAACCGCUUUAAUCGCAGUGGCUUGAACAGGGCAAAAGUCGUAACA